AACGAACGCUGGCGGCGCGCUUAACACAUGCAAGUCGAACGAGAAGGCGUAGCAAUACGCUUGUACAGUGGCGAACGGGUGAGUAAUACGUGGGCGACCGUACCCUCGAGUGGGGAACUAACCCGCCGAAAGGCGGGCUAAUGCCGCGUACGCUUCCAUCUUUAUGGAGGUGGAAGGAAAGCCGUGCCGUGGGCACGGCGCUCAAGGAUGGGCUCACGUCCUAUCAGCUUGUUGGAGGGUAACGGCCUACCAAGGCUCCGACGGGUAGCUGGUCUGAGAGGACGAUCAGCC
Molecule: ribosomal RNA, 291 nt
Filed under: uncultured bacterium
Lineage: Bacteria
Description: partial 16S ribosomal RNA
Rfam family: Bacterial small subunit ribosomal RNA
Source: RNAcentral